RNAcentral lists this ribosomal RNA (2031 nucleotides) under soil metagenome. Its description in RNAcentral is "bacterial LSU rRNA". It matches the Rfam family "Bacterial large subunit ribosomal RNA", at positions 778 to 2925 of the family's 2925-position model. The record is from RNAcentral.
ACUCACGCCUGUUGAAAAAGUCGGAGAUGACCUGUGGCUAGGGGUGAAAGGCCAAUCAAAUCAGGAAAUAGCUGGUUCUCCGCGAAAGCUAUUUAGGUAGCGCGUCGGACGAUUACCCACGGGGGUAGAGCACUGGAUGGGCUAGGGGGCCUCACCGCUUACCAAACCUAACCAAACUCCGAAUACCGUGGAGUACAGUCCGGCAGACAGACGGUCGGUGCUAAGGUCGAUCGUCAAGAGGGAAACAGCCCAGACCGCCAGCUAAGGUCCCCAAGUCGUGGCUAAGUGGGAAAGGAUGUAGGACGACCAAGACAACCAGGAGGUUGGCUUAGAAGCAGCCAUCCUUUAAAGAAAGCGUAAUAGCUCACUGGUCUAGUUUAAGCCGGCCCGCGCCGAAAAUGUAACGGGGCUCAAGCCACCCACCGAAGCUGCGGAUGGCAGGAUUUAUCCUGCCGUGGUAGCGGAGCGUUCCGUAAGCCUGCGAAGGAUGCCCGUGAGGUCAUCUGGAGGUAUCGGAAGUGAGAAUGCUGACAUGAGUAGCGACAAAGAGUGUGAGAAACACUCUCGCCGGAAGUCCAAGGGUUCCUGCGCACGGUUAAUCCGCGCAGGGUGAGCCGGCCCCUAAGGCGAGGCCGAAAGGCGUAGUCGAUGGGAACCUGGUUAAUAUUCCAGGGCCUGGCGGUGGUGACGAAGGCUGAAGUCUGUAUCCGCUUAACGGAUUGCGGGUGCAGUGGAGGCCUUCCAGGAAACAGCCCCAGCGUAUAGACCGUACCCCAAACCGACACAGGUGGACAGGUAGAGCAUACCCAGGCGCUUGAGAGAAUGGUGUUGAAGGAACUCGGCAAAUUACCCUCGUAACUUCGGGAGAAGAGGGCCCCGUUCCCGGGCAACCGGGGGCGGGGGGCACAGACCAGGGGGUGGCGACUGUUUACUAAAAACACAGGGCUCUGCGAAGUCUGGCAUGACGACGUAUAGGGUCUGACGCCUGCCCGGUGCCGGAAGGUUAAAGGGAGGGGUGCGAGCUCCGAACUGAAGCCCCGGUAAACGGCGGCCGUAACUAUAACGGUCCUAAGGUAGCGAAAUUCCUUGUCGGGUAAGUUCCGACCUGCACGAAUGGCGUAACGACUUCCCCGCUGUCUCCAACACCAACUCAGCGAAAUUGAAUUCUCCGUGAAGAUGCGGAGUACCCGCGGUCAGACGGAAAGACCCCGUGCACCUUUACUCCAGCUUUGCAGUGGUGCCAGGGUUCCCAUGUGUAGGAUAGGUGGGAGGCUAUGAAGCCCGGGCGCCAGCUCGGGUGGAGCCGUCCUUGAAAUACCACCCUUGGGAUCUCUGGCAUCUAACCGCGCGCCCUGAAGCGGGCGCCGGGACCCUGCAUGGCGGGGAGUUUGACUGGGGCGGUCGCCUCCCAAAGAGUAACGGAGGCGCGCGAUGGUUGGCUCAGAGCGGUCGGAAAUCGCUCGACGAGUGCAAUGGCAUAAGCCAGCCUGACUGCGAGACCGACAAGUCGAGCAGAGACGAAAGUCGGCCAUAGUGAUCCGGUGGUCCCGCGUGGAAGGGCCAUCGCUCAACGGAUAAAAGGUACGCCGGGGAUAACAGGCUGAUCUCCCCCAAGAGUCCACAUCGACGGGGAGGUUUGGCACCUCGAUGUCGGCUCAUCACAUCCUGGGGCUGGAGCAGGUCCCAAGGGUUCGGCUGUUCGCCGAUUAAAGUGGUACGUGAGCUGGGUUUAGAACGUCGUGAGACAGUUCGGUCCCUAUCUGCCGUGGGUGUCGGAGUGUUGAGAGGCGCUGUCCCUAGUACGAGAGGACCGGGAUGGACGCACCUCUGGUGGACCGGUUGUGGCGCCAGCCGCAUCGCCGGGUAGCUAAGUGCGGACGGGAUAACCGCUGAAAGCAUCUAAGCGGGAAACCCCCCUCAAAACAAACACUCCCCGAGAGCCGGGACAGACCAUCCCGUCGAUAGGAGGCGUGUGGAAGCGCGGCAACGCGUGAAGCUAAGCCUUACUAAUCGCUCGAUCGGCUUGAUCUC